GUUGAACAUUUGGUCCUUUCUAUGAGCACCCGUGUAUUUCUUUUUACACAAUCUGGGUUUUUGCAGCCUUGAAGGAGCAGAAGAACCAAAUGGAGAUGGAUUCGAAUCCGAUGGAGAGAACCCAAGAUUGUGAUCCAUUGAAGCAAUUUUGUGCUCUGAAUGAUUAUUAUAUGAAGAUUGAGCGUUAAAAAACUGACCUUUACGUAGAUGCAAAUCUCCGGUGUCGGUCAACGCCGGCGACAUAUGUCAUCUAAUCUGACGGCCGGCGUUUACUUGUGAUCAAUUUUUCAAGAAUCUUGGAUUAUCAUGAAAUUGCUUCCUUUGUGG
This 327-nucleotide unclassified non-coding RNA is filed under the name Hevea brasiliensis (rubber tree). Lineage: Eukaryota; Viridiplantae; Streptophyta; Magnoliopsida; Malpighiales; Euphorbiaceae. The record is from RNAcentral.